GACGUAGGGCGCGAGCGUUGUCCGGAUUUAUUGGGCGUAAAGAGCUCGUAGGCGGCUCGUUGCGUCGGCUGUGAAAACCCGCAGCUCAACUGUGGGCUUGCAGCUGAUACGGGCGGGCUGGGAUUCGGUAGGGGAGACUGGAAUUCCUGGUGUAGCGGUGAAAUGCGCAGAUAUCAGGAGGAACACCAAUGGCGAAAGCAGGUAACUGGACUAUUACUGACACUCAGCUGCGAAAGCUAGGGGAGCAAACAGG
RNAcentral lists this ribosomal RNA (253 nucleotides) under uncultured bacterium. RNAcentral's name for it is "partial 16S ribosomal RNA". It matches the Rfam family "Bacterial small subunit ribosomal RNA", at positions 524 to 776 of the family's 1533-position model. The record is from RNAcentral.